Malus domestica (apple) is the source of this 323-nucleotide long non-coding RNA. RefSeq lists it as uncharacterized. The record is from RefSeq and is a predicted model, not a curated record. Lineage: Eukaryota; Viridiplantae; Streptophyta; Magnoliopsida; Rosales; Rosaceae.
AUAUAUAUAUAUAUAUAUAUAUAUAUAUAUAUAUAGAUGAUUAUGUGGAGAGGAGAAAUGGUUGAGAGAGACCAGAAACUAGAAACUAGUCCUCCAACCUACUCAACCUGUAUCUCGCUAUUUAUGGGAGCUUAUCACAGUUGUGGUUUCUUGUGUUAUUAUCUCGGAGCAAUGCUUUGGAAUCCAGGUUUACGAACUAAACAAUCUAAGAGGGUAGACGGGAUGAGAUCGGAUUAAGUGUGAGGAUAGAAUUGUGUAUUUCUUUAUUUUAGCCUUGUAAAGAAUUAUUGAGUUAUUUUAAAUAAGAAGAAUUUUAUUUUCCA